Molecule: ribosomal RNA, 254 nt
Filed under: uncultured bacterium
Lineage: Bacteria
Description: partial 16S ribosomal RNA
Rfam family: Bacterial small subunit ribosomal RNA
Source: RNAcentral
UACGGAGGGGGGCUAGCGUUGUUCGGAAUUACUGGGCGUAAAGCGCACGUAGGCGGCUUUGUAAGUUAGAGGUGAAAGCCCGGGGCUCAACUCCGGAAUUGCCUUUAAGACUGCAUCGCUCGAAUUGUGGAGAGGUGAGUGGAAUUCCGAGUGUAGAGGUGAAAUUCGUAGAUAUUCGGAAGAACACCAGUGGCGAAGGCGACUCACUGGACAUGUAUUGACGCUGAGGUGCGAAAGCGUGGGGAGCAAACAGG